GGAGAAAGAGAAGUAUUUAGGAAUUGGCCUGGAAUACAGGAGACCUUUGUUCAGGUUAUGAUGAUAAUAUUGUACAAGUAUGCCAGUCUACCCAGCUGCUGCUCAUUUCACUAUAUUAUCUGAAAUAUGAAAGAGAAGCCAUUUCAAAUGCAUGUUUCUGAAGCCGGAAGAUGUGUCUUCUGUUCUCCAUUCCCUGAUCUGAGAGGAGAUGACUGACAGGAGAAUUUGUUGCAAUUCUUGCUUUAUAUUGACCAGAGAUACUACUGCUGAGUCUCACAAAGGAGUAUCUCCCUACAGUAGUACCUUCAGUUUGUAUUAGCCCUGGAAUGAAAACGGAGCUGUAAUUCAGUAAAGUACUGAGAACUUGGAUAACAUUUGGUAACUCUUAGUCCCAGCAGAGUAUGUAUUUAGGAAUUGUUCAGUGCCUAAAAAGUCAGCAUUACUGAACUUGGGUCAAUAAGAACUGCUAAACAAUAUAUCAAGCAUUGUUCUGCUGCUUAUUUUAUGUGACCUUGUUGUCCUUCCUUUCAGUGAGGAAACUUGAAGAUCACAAAAAAUUCAAUUGAGAAUAUUCCAGUGUUCAGGGCCAGAAGUUUGUGAUUUGCUGUUCAUCAUAAGUUUCUGGACGGAUACCCAUGCUGACCAGCCAAUGUCAUAAAUGUUACACUGCUAAAGUGGAACGUGUCUGCUUUUGCAACUUCUAACCAUCUAUCUGUAUUGCAUGAUAGAAAUACAUAAGCUGGAAACUUCUGGUUACUGCAGAGUUGCAACGCACUGCUUUGAGAAAUACACAAAGCAACUCCACCUCUUGGGCAAAGUAUCUUUCAAGGACAGAACUUCUGAGUAUUGUGUCCAUGAUUUUGACAAAUGGACUAGUUUACACUGGUUAUUUUCAACACAGCAUAAGUAGUAAAUAAAAGUUGUAUACCUGAGCAUGAAACAGUCAUUUUUUUUCUCAGUUGUAAGAGGUAACCUGGCUUCCAAGAAAGAGCCAUUAAGGAAUAGGAAAAUGAUCAUGCAGUGAGUGUAGCAUUAUAAAGAUUAUCGACUGGCCAUUUAGAGCUAUCUCAGAGCUCCUUUGGUUGGGGACAUCCUCAAUUGGAAGCAGAAAGUCUGUACUUCAGUAUGGUUGCAAAGACCUGAAGUUGACAGGUUAGCUACAGCUGGAUAGAUACUGCUGGAUAUGUGGUAGGUGUUCUUCUAGAAUUGUCAGAAAUUAUGCCCUGAACACGUCCUUUUUAUCCCUGGGGCCACUUUCAUUAUUUUCCAGAGGAGAUUCCUCCUUUCCCCCUCCCACCCACCCUCUGCCUUUAAUUCUGUCAUUCCUUUCAUUCACUUUCUUUUGGCAAAGCAGAACAUAGCUGUGUUGUAAAAACCUAGAAGUUGCCACUUCUGGGGGUUCACUGGCAUGAUGGAGGAUUCAGAAGCCCUGAAAGAUGAGCACUGGCAUCUCCAAAAUUGAUGAUUUUGCGGACAGAGUCAGUGAAGUAGUUAUGAUUAAUGGACAUUGGAUUUUCAUUAUUCUGUCAAUGGAAUAACAUGUCCCUUUGGGUCUCUGUGCUUGUGUCUAGUGACAACGGUGAGAGUUUUAUAGGCUGGUAACAAAGAAAUACAAUGCUCUUUCAAGGUCUGUUUUACUAAUACUGAAUUGGCUUUUAGUUUCUCUAGGCUUCUCACAUGUGGCAGUAAUCAACCACCAAAUAUAGCUCAGAAGCAUCUUGGUUAUCUGUAAGGCAAUCUUGCUCUAAAAGAAUUUUUCUUUAACCAACUAGAGAGCAGUGAACUCACUGCUUUAUCUUAUCAGUGUUUAUCUUAUUUUGUAUGGCUUCUUUUAGAAAAUGAGAAAGAAAGUUACUUUG
Long non-coding RNA from Neopsephotus bourkii (Bourke's parrot), 1859 nucleotides. RefSeq lists it as uncharacterized. The record is from RefSeq and is a predicted model, not a curated record. The transcript has 3 exons. Lineage: Eukaryota; Metazoa; Chordata; Aves; Psittaciformes; Psittacidae.